This 460-nucleotide ribosomal RNA is filed under the name uncultured bacterium. Its description in RNAcentral is "partial 16S ribosomal RNA". It matches the Rfam family "Bacterial small subunit ribosomal RNA", at positions 338 to 795 of the family's 1533-position model. The record is from RNAcentral.
CCUACGGGUGGCAGCAGUGAGGAAUAUUGGUCAAUGGACGAGAGUCUGAACCAGCCAAGUAGCGUGAAGGAUGACUGCCCUAUGGGUUGUAAACUUCUUUUAUAUGGGAAUAAAAUGUUACACGUGUGGGAUUUUGUAUGUACCAUAUGAAUAAGGAUAGGCUAACUCCGUGCCAGCAGCCGCGGUAAUACGGAGGAUCCGAGCGUUAUCCGGAUUUAUUGGGUUUAAAGGGAGCGUAGGUGGAUUGUUAAGUCAGUUGUGAAAGUUUGCGGCUCAACCGUAAAAUUGCAGUUGAAACUGGCAGUCUUGAGUACAGUAGAGGUGGGCGGAAUUCGUGGUGUAGCGGUGAAAUGCUUAGAUAUCACGAAGAACUCCGAUUGCGAAGGCAGUUCACUGGACUGCAACUGACACUGAGGCUCGAAAGUGUGGGUAUCAAACAGGAUUAGAUACCCCUGUAGUC